GUGCUCUCCGAUCUGGCCUGGUAUCCAUCUACUCACAAUAAUUUGAAUGUAGAACUGAAGAAGCACAAUUUCCUUCUUCGAGAGGAAUCCAACCGAAGAGAAGCGAGCAUCAUAAUAGCUUGAUAAAAAGAUAUUUAGUAUAAGAGGACGUUCGCGUCAAUUAUCACGCCUCUGACUGCUGAGGACGAGGUUCGGGUUAAUGAUAUUGUGAAAGGUGUCAUUAAACCGGGUCUGCCUCUGUUAGUUACGAGGUAUAUGCCAUGGAUCUCAUCUAUUCCCCUUAAACAAGGGAUAACGUGGGUUCCGACCUGGAAUCUGGACCCCCAAUUAGAGUGUGUUUAAAGAGAUUGGAGGAACUCUUCCUCGGUCUCCGUAUCCAAAGAUACUGGUAAUUAGAGCUUCAAGUGUUCGGUUCUACUCUCCGUUUUAUUCAUAGUAAGGGAGAGCAGUUCAGUCCACUUGCUCUUUGGCCGCAUCGGUUGAGGUUUGCUCUGUUCAGUUCAGUUA
Molecule: long non-coding RNA, 507 nt
Organism: Triticum aestivum (bread wheat)
Lineage: Eukaryota; Viridiplantae; Streptophyta; Magnoliopsida; Poales; Poaceae
Exons: 3
Source: RefSeq, a predicted model, not a curated record